This 450-nucleotide ribosomal RNA is filed under the name uncultured bacterium. RNAcentral describes it as "partial 16S ribosomal RNA". It matches the Rfam family "Bacterial small subunit ribosomal RNA", at positions 338 to 795 of the family's 1533-position model. The record is from RNAcentral.
CCUACGGGAGGCUGCAGUAAGGAAUAUUGGUCAAUGCCCGGAAGGGUGAACCAGCCAUGCCGCGUGCAGGAUGACGGCCCUAUGGGUUGUAAACUGCUUUUGGAUAGGAAGAAUGGAUUGUAUUGAUAUGAUUUUGACGGUACUAUCAGAAUAAGCACCGGCUAACUCCGUGCCAGCAGCCGCGGUAAUACGGAGGGUGCGGGCAUUAUCCGGAGUUACUGGUGUGAAGGGGUGCGUAGGAGGCGGUGGUGAAAGCAUGGAGCUUAACGGCAUAAUUGCCUUCGAUACUGUAAAGCUGGAAUUAAGUUGAGGUUGGCGGAAUGUGACAUGUAGCGGUGAAAUGCAUAGAUAUGUCAUAGAACACCGAUUGCGUAGGCAGCUGACUGAGCUUAAAUUGACGCUGAGGCACGAAAGCGUGGGGAGCGAACAGGAUUAGAUACCCGUGUAGUC